RNAcentral lists this long non-coding RNA (329 nucleotides) under Olea europaea (common olive). RNAcentral describes it as "long non-coding RNA (OEUR_LNC008423)". The record is from RNAcentral. Lineage: Eukaryota; Viridiplantae; Streptophyta; Magnoliopsida; Lamiales; Oleaceae.
CGGGUGAGUUAUCUCAAGCUCACCGCCAAUAGCAUCGGGGUGCUGCAAAGUCACUGUGAGAAGCAGUGGCUCAAUGGCACAAAGAGAGUCGGGCACCGCAACAUCUCCAAUCAAAGGCAGUGUACGGUUGCUGCGUGGGUGUCGGUGAGGAGUCGACAGUUGUGGGAAUGGCUACUGGUGAAAAAGGUGGCUGUCGAUGAAAGGGAGUGGUUGUUGGAGUAUGGUUUUGCAAGUAAUGUAAGCUCCGCUGCUAUAGCGGCGAAUGAUGGGAGAUCUGUGGAAAUUUUGUCGCAAUCUGGUACCGAAGUUUUGUUGGUUGCGAUUUAGGG